RNAcentral lists this long non-coding RNA (420 nucleotides) under Homo sapiens (human). Its description in RNAcentral is "HSALNT0383531". The record is from RNAcentral. Lineage: Eukaryota; Metazoa; Chordata; Mammalia; Primates; Hominidae.
AAAGCCUAUUAUUACCUCAAUUUUACCAGUGAGGACCUGAGCUCUGUGGCUGUGAAGAAUAUAGCUCGUGCACAGGAAAUAUUUGGCUAAGACACGGCUACUUAUGAUGUCUACAUAAAUAACAGGAUCAGGAGCUGGGCCAACUAUGGGAAUGAAGAGGAAACUGGAAAAAGAACCUGUAACGCCUGAGAUCGCCUGACCACCAACCCAGCAGGAUGGCUGCUGGGGUCUUAUUAAAUUAGCAAAAAAGAAACUAAAAGUGAUUUGUCAACAUGUGUUAUCUAGAGAUGAUUCUAAGCAACUCAGCCUGGCGGUAAUGUAUUCCAUCCAAUUGAGGAGUUUGCAGGAAAAUAAAUCUACAGUGACCCAACAGAGUAGUAAAACACUUGUUUGAAAUUAUUUUUUGUAACUGUGCUCAUU